GCAAAGAUGGAGAAACGGCCCAAACGAAAGGGGGGCGCUGAAAAAUUGCGCGAAAAAAGGCUUAAAAGCCUGCAAGUCGAUGCAGCAAAAUGCAGCAAAAUAAGUGACAUGUUUGCCGUUGCUUCCACUAGUUCACCUGCGGCAGCGACUGCUGCUGCCAUGAUAGAAAAAGAAGCCGAAGUUCAGGGGGAGUCUGAGGAAAAGGAGUAGGAGGAGAAGGAGGAGGAGGACGGAGGGAGAGACGUGACACAGCAGGGACAGAUCGAGGAGGGCAUAUUUGGAGUGAAGGUCUACCUUUCCCUGAUGUGGAGUUUACAUGUUUUCCUUUUCUAUCAUUAGCAGCAAGGUCCAUGCAGCCUUUUGUCUCAGCAUAUGUUCCAUUUUGGUGAAGAGCUCCACUUUUAAUUCAAGUUUCCCAGAGACUAUGGGUUGAGGAGGAAUUGGAAGUUUGUCGGCUUAGACCUGGUGUCAUUCCAUCAGUGUUAAACUUCCCAGCUCAUCUUGGAAGAGCACGUGCCAGAAAGACCACGACCAAGCAGCCUUGAGAUCUUAGACAGCGUCUCCCUCAGGUCCCUCUCUAUCUCCCCACACAUCCACCAACCACUGGAACACAUCUCCAAAGUUCUGCCGGGCCAGCUCAGCUUCCCCUCAGAAGUGCCGCCACCUGCCAGAUGAAGGAGCCUUUUGAGAGGCAGCUGGCAUCGUGAUUGGACUGUACUUUGGUCUGUUCCAAUCCAGCUUCAGCUCCAGAGACGGCAGGCGGGACGAGUCAACGGAGGCCGGGUGGACGAAGACCAAAGAACUACAGAUUAUUCACAACCUGCUCAAACUCUUGGUACAGGAC
Molecule: long non-coding RNA, 844 nt
Organism: Amphiprion ocellaris (clown anemonefish)
Lineage: Eukaryota; Metazoa; Chordata; Actinopteri; Pomacentridae
Source: Ensembl